GUUCAAGGCUACAGUGAGCCAUGAUCAUGCCACUGCACUCCAACCAGCAUCCAGGAUAUUGCAGUCCUCUUCAACAUCAUCAUCAUUUUCCUCAUGUUCUUCAACACCUUCGUCUUCCAGGCUGGCCUGGUCAACCUCCUAUUCCAUAAGUUCAAAGGGACCAUCAUCCUGACAGCUGUGUACUUUGCCCUCAGCAUCUCCCUUCAUGUCUGGGUCAUGAACUUACGCUGGAAAAACUCCAACAGCUUCAUAUGGACAGAUGGACUUCAAAUGCUGUUUGUAUUCCAGAGACUAGGGCUUUGAUUCCUGGGUCUAAGAAGGACAGCAAGUCCUGCUAAAUGUUAAACACUGACGGCAAUUAAAGCCCCAUCUUCACGCCCGGUAGAAGAUGCCAAUCAAAAUAAACUUCAUUCCUGAAGCACGGGGCUGGAAAAUCAAAGCUAUUCAACUCCUCAAGGCCCAGGGACUAUCAAGAAAGAGGCGGACAGAUGAGAUUGUAAAGGCUGAUUUUGAGAGAUAAAAUAAGUUCAGUUUCCCUAUAAAUUAAUCAUUAAUGUCAAAGGCACACUGAAGCAAGACCAGCAUAUGGGCCUCUGUGUCAGAUUAACAAGGUUUUCU
This 618-nucleotide long non-coding RNA is filed under the name Homo sapiens (human). RNAcentral's name for it is "HSALNT0175821". The record is from RNAcentral. Lineage: Eukaryota; Metazoa; Chordata; Mammalia; Primates; Hominidae.